GCUCAUUAAUCACACUGGAUAGAAUUAGAAUGUGAGCUGCUUGAAGUAAAAAAUAGGACUUUGCCAGAUGGCAGAUGUCUUUUUGGUUAGCAAUGUCAUGCCGUAUUUUGAACGAAGAGAUGACAGGGGGAGGAGUCGUUGAGAACAGCUUUUUCAAGUCACACCAAGGCAUGCAAUACGGGGUCUUGGAACGCAGGAGGAAGUCUUAUGGAGCUGAAAAGAGCUACUGAUUACCUAACCCUGUUCUGCACGUUAUCGUCUGAAUCUGACUGAGCACUGACUGAAUCUGCUGAGCAUCCUGCACCACCCGAUACUGCCUAGGGGAGAAGGAAGACUCAGGUUCUCAGGGAGCUGAUGAUCAAUCUGUGCCUUGGCUGGCCUGCCACCCAUCUCUGAGUCCCUCGUCCUUGCCAGGCGGCCCUGCGGAAGGGGCUCACCGCGAGCCAGGAGCAGACACCCUCUCGCCCUCUUGGGAAAGCGGAUCAGGCCGGCUUCUGGGGCGCUCCCUGCACCCCGCCACCUUCUGGGACCUCCGCUGAGAGCCGCGCUUGGGGCACCGCCGGGCCAGCCUCCAACCCCGCCCCCGACAAGGCAGAGCCCGAGACACA
RNAcentral lists this long non-coding RNA (608 nucleotides) under Equus caballus (horse). RNAcentral describes it as "lncRNA (ENSECAG00000029095.2)". Lineage: Eukaryota; Metazoa; Chordata; Mammalia; Perissodactyla; Equidae. The record is from RNAcentral.